This 546-nucleotide ribosomal RNA is filed under the name uncultured bacterium. RNAcentral describes it as "bacterial SSU rRNA". It matches the Rfam family "Bacterial small subunit ribosomal RNA", at positions 359 to 914 of the family's 1533-position model. The record is from RNAcentral.
GAAUAUUGCACAAUGGGCGAAAGCCUGAUGCAACGACGCCGCGUGCAGGAUGAAGGCCUUCGGGUUGUAAACCCCUUUCAGGAAGGACGAACGAAAGUGACGGUACCUCCAGAAGAAGCCCCGGCCAACUACGUGCCAGCAGCCGCGGUAAUACGUAGGGGGCGAGCGUUGUCCGGAUUUAUUGGGCGUAAAGAGCUCGUAGGCGGCUCAGCAAGUCGGCCGUGAAAACCUGAGGCUCAACCUCAGGACGCCGGUCGAAACUGCUGUGGCUAGGGUUCGGUAGAGGAGAGUGGAAUUCCCGGUGUAGCGGUGAAAUGCGCAGAUAUCGGGAGGAACACCAGUAGCGAAGGCGGCUCUCUGGGCCGAUACCGACGCUGAGGAGCGAAAGCUAGGGGAGCAAACAGGAUUAGAUACCCUGGUAGUCCUAGCCGUAAACGUUGGGAACUAGGUGUGGCGGAUUCAUUGACAUCUGCCGUGCCGAAGCUAACGCAUUAAGUUCCCCGCCUGGGGAGUACGGUCGCAAGGCUAAAACUCAAAGGAAUUGAC